GAUGAACGCUGGCGGCGUGCCUAAUACAUGCAAGUCGAGCGAACAGACGAGGAUCUUUCUCCUCUGACGUUAGCGGCGGACGGGUGAUUAACACUUGGAUAACCUACCUCUAAGACUGGUAUACCUUCGGGAAACCGGCGCUAAUACCGGAUAAUUUAUUGCACCUCAUGGUUCAAUCGUCAAAUACGGUUUUUCUGUCACUUAUAGAUGGAUCCGCGCCGCAUUAGCUAGUUGGUAAGGUAACGGCUUACCAAGGCAACGAUGCGUAGCCGACCUGAGCGGGUGAUCGGCCACACUGGAACUGAGACACGGUACAGACUCCUACGGGAGGAAGCAGUAGGGAAUCUUACGCAAUGGGCGAAAGCCUGACGGAGCAAAGCGGCGGGAGUGAUGAAGGUGUUAGGAUCGUAAAACUCUGUUAUUAGGGAAGAACAAAUGUGUAAGUAACUAGGAACGUAUUGACGGUACCUAAUCAGAAAGCCACGGCUAACUACGUG
RNAcentral lists this ribosomal RNA (497 nucleotides) under uncultured bacterium. Its description in RNAcentral is "partial 16S ribosomal RNA". It matches the Rfam family "Bacterial small subunit ribosomal RNA", at positions 28 to 507 of the family's 1533-position model. The record is from RNAcentral.